UACGUAGGGGGCAAGCGUUGUCCGGAAUCAUUGGGCGUAAAGCGCGCGUAGGCGGCCCGAUAAGUCUGCUGUGAAAGUCCAGGGCUCAACCCUGGAAUGCCGGUGGAUACUGUCGGGCUAGAGUUCGGAAGAGGCAAGUGGAAUUCCUGGUGGAGCGGUGAAAUGCGCAGAUAUCAGGAGGAACACCCGUAGCGAAGGCGGCACUCUGGGCCGAUACUGACACUGAGGAGCGAAAGCGUGGGGAGCGAACAGG
This 253-nucleotide ribosomal RNA is filed under the name uncultured bacterium. RNAcentral describes it as "partial 16S ribosomal RNA". It matches the Rfam family "Bacterial small subunit ribosomal RNA", at positions 524 to 776 of the family's 1533-position model. The record is from RNAcentral.